GGAAAGAGUCCGGUUGGUCGAGGACACCGCCUUGAAAGCGGCUGGGUGUAAAAACUUCGCAGGUUCGAUUCCUGUUCUUUCCG
This 83-nucleotide transfer RNA is filed under the name Alphaproteobacteria bacterium. Its description in RNAcentral is "tRNA-Ser". It matches the Rfam family "tRNA". Rfam says of the family: Transfer RNA (tRNA) molecules are approximately 80 nucleotides in length. Their secondary structure includes four short double-helical elements and three loops (D, anti-codon, and T loops). Lineage: Bacteria; Pseudomonadati; Pseudomonadota; Alphaproteobacteria. The record is from RNAcentral. RNAcentral also lists the same sequence under 1 other name.